GACGAACGCUGGCGGCGUGCUUAACACAUGCAAGUCGAACGGAAAGGCCCUGCUUUUGUGGGGUGCUCGAGUGGCGAACGGGUGAGUAACACGUGAGUAACCUGCCCUUGACUUUGGGAUAACUUCAGGAAACUGGGGCUACUACCGGAUAGGAGCUCCUGCUGCAUGGUGGGGGUUGGAAAGUUUCGGCGGUUGGGGAUGGACUCGCGGCUUAUCAGCUUGUUGGUGGGGUAGUGGCUUACCAAGGCUUUGACGGGUAGCCGGCCUGAGAGGGUGACCGGCCACAUUGGGACUGAGAUACGGACCAGAGUCCUACGGGAGGCAGCAGUGGGGAAUAUGGCACAAUGGGCGGAAGCCUGAUGCAGCAACGCCGCGUGCGGGAUGACGGCCUUCGGGUUGUAAACCGCUUUCGCCUGUGACGAAGCGUGAGUGACGGUAAUGGGUAAAGAAGCACCGGCUAACUACGUG
RNAcentral lists this ribosomal RNA (468 nucleotides) under uncultured bacterium. RNAcentral describes it as "partial 16S ribosomal RNA". It matches the Rfam family "Bacterial small subunit ribosomal RNA", at positions 28 to 507 of the family's 1533-position model. The record is from RNAcentral.